UUUGUUCAAGAUCGUUAAUUAACUCCUCUUUGUCAAUAGGCAUAUUGUCCAUAUCAUCUUCACCUUCAUCGUCUUCAUCAAAGCUAUACAAAAGUGCAUCCUCAUUCAAGAAAGGCUUCAGAAACUCAUCAUCAUUCCAAGGAAGCUUGCCAUUAUCAAAACUAGCAACUUCGUGCAAGUGAUUCAGUAAAUCUUCCUUUGACCGACAUACAAUGCCACAACUCCAGCAUUUGUUCCCAGCAACCUUAGACCUAACAUAAUUAAUUAGCUUAAAGCAGCCAUAAAAAUCCAAGGCAAGCGA
RNAcentral lists this unclassified non-coding RNA (301 nucleotides) under Hevea brasiliensis (rubber tree). Lineage: Eukaryota; Viridiplantae; Streptophyta; Magnoliopsida; Malpighiales; Euphorbiaceae. The record is from RNAcentral.